CGUGGUAGUUCAACGGAAGAAUGCUGGCCUGAAGCACCAGCGACGAUGGUUCGACUCCAUCCCACG
RNAcentral lists this transfer RNA (66 nucleotides) under Lotharella oceanica. It matches the Rfam family "tRNA". From Rfam's summary of the family: Transfer RNA (tRNA) molecules are approximately 80 nucleotides in length. Their secondary structure includes four short double-helical elements and three loops (D, anti-codon, and T loops). Further hydrogen bonds mediate the characteristic L-shaped molecular structure. tRNAs have two regions of fundamental functional importance: the anti-codon, which is responsible for specific mRNA codon recognition, and the 3' end, to which the tRNAs corresponding amino acid is attached (by aminoacyl-tRNA synthetases). tRNAs cope with the degeneracy of the genetic code in two manners: having more than one tRNA (with a specific anti-codon) for a particular amino acid; and 'wobble' base-pairing, i.e. permitting non-standard base-pairing at the 3rd anti-codon position. Lineage: Eukaryota; Cercozoa; Chlorarachniophyceae. The record is from RNAcentral.